Molecule: unclassified non-coding RNA, 284 nt
Filed under: Hevea brasiliensis (rubber tree)
Lineage: Eukaryota; Viridiplantae; Streptophyta; Magnoliopsida; Malpighiales; Euphorbiaceae
Source: RNAcentral
GGGGACUCCUGGGAAUUUGAAAGGGCUUGACUCCUUGCUGGAAAGGGUCUAGUUAUACAGAUUUGAGACAGAAAAGGCCGUAAGCACACGGAUCGGGGCCGUUUGAGCGAGUGCAGCGCCAAAACUUGUCGAACUGCAGGUCCGCCUCCGAUGUUCGGUUGAUUCGCGGGUUUCAAAUAUCUUCGUGGGUUGGGUAAACGUAAAACUUCACGAAUCACACAGAUCUCGCUCUCGCUCUCUCGCUCACACUUAUGCUCUCGCUCUCGCUCUCGCUCUCUCUCUCU